GUGCCAGCCGCCGCGGUAAUACCGGUGGCUCGAGUGGUGGCCGCGAUUAUUGGGUCUAAAGGGUCCGUAGCCGGCCUGAUAAGUUAUCUGGGAAAUCCGGUGGCCUAACCAUCGGGCGGCCAGGUAAUACUAUCAGGCUCGGGACUAGGAGAGACCAGAGGUACUCAUGAGGUAGGAGUGAAAUCCUGUAAUCUUAUGAGGACCACCAGUGGUGAAGACGUCUGGUUAGAAUAGGUCCGACGGUGAGGGACGAAGGCUGGGGGCGCAAACCGGAUUAGAUACCCGGGUAGUCCCAGCAGUAAACGAUGCCAGCUAUGUGUUGCUGGAACCAUGGGUUCCAGCAGUGCCGAAGGGAAGCCGUGAAGCUGGCCACCUGGGAAGUACGGUCGCAAGGCUGAAACUUAAAGGAAUUGGCGGGGGAGUACCACAACCGGUGGAGCCUGCGGUUUAAUUGGAUACAACGCCGGGAAUCUUACCGGAGGGGACAGCAGUAUGAAGGCCAGGCUAAAGACCUUGCCAGAUCAGCUGAGAGGAGGUGCAUGGCCGUCGCCAGUUCGUACCGUGAGGCAUCCUGUUUAGUCAGGCAACGAUCGAGACCCGCAGUCUUAUUUGCCAGCAUGCCCUUUGGGGUGUAUGGGUA
Molecule: ribosomal RNA, 640 nt
Filed under: uncultured bacterium
Lineage: Bacteria
Description: bacterial SSU rRNA
Rfam family: Archaeal small subunit ribosomal RNA
Source: RNAcentral